ACAGGGGUGCCAACAGAGGGUGUACAGCCCCGUGCACCCUCCUCAACGCCCUCAUCCCAGAUCUCCAAGAGUCGAGUUGUUUGGGAAUGCAGCUCUAAGUGGGUGGUAAAUUCCAUCUAAAGCUAAAUACCGGCGAGAGACCGAUAGCGAACAAGUACAGUGAUGGAAAGAUGAAAAGCACUUUGAAAAGAGAGUGAAAAAGUACGUGAAAUUGUUGAAAGGGAAGGGCUUGCAAGCAGACACUUAACUGGGCCAGCAUCGGGGCGGCGGGAAACAAAACCACCGGGGAAUGUACCUUUCGAGGAUUAUAACCCCGGUC
This 319-nucleotide ribosomal RNA is filed under the name Metschnikowia pulcherrima. RNAcentral's name for it is "partial large subunit ribosomal RNA". It matches the Rfam family "Eukaryotic large subunit ribosomal RNA", at positions 194 to 492 of the family's 3401-position model. Lineage: Eukaryota; Fungi; Ascomycota; Pichiomycetes; Serinales; Metschnikowiaceae. The record is from RNAcentral.